Colinus virginianus (northern bobwhite) is the source of this 138-nucleotide non-coding RNA. NCBI's taxonomy places the organism in Eukaryota, Metazoa, Chordata, Aves, Galliformes, Odontophoridae. The record is from Rfam.
CACUUCUCAAUGAGCUCCUUCCUGCCGAAAAGCCGUGGCAGCCUAUGGAUUCGCACGAGAAGGACAUGAACAGCUCAGUACUGGCACACUCACAGCGUGCUUACAUCGGUUGUGAUUAGCCACUACUGUUCUACAAUA